Molecule: ribosomal RNA, 527 nt
Filed under: uncultured bacterium
Lineage: Bacteria
Description: bacterial SSU rRNA
Rfam family: Bacterial small subunit ribosomal RNA
Source: RNAcentral
GGCCUAACACGUGCAAGUCGAACGGCAGCACAGAGGAGCUUGCUCCUUGGGUGGCGAGUGGCGGACGGGUGAGGAAUACAUCGGAAUCUGCCUUAUCGUGGGGGAUAACGUAGGGAAACUUACGCUAAUACCGCAUACGACCUACGGGUGAAAGCGGAGGACCGCAAGGCUUCGCGCGAUAAGAUGAGCCGAUGUCGGAUUAGCUAGUUGGCGGGGUAAUGGCCCACCAAGGCGACGAUCCGUAGCUGGUCUGAGAGGAUGAUCAGCCACACUGGAACUGAGACACGGUCCAGACUCCUACGGGAGGCAGCAGUGGGGAAUAUUGGACAAUGGGCGCAAGCCUGAUCCAGCCAUGCCGCGUGUGUGAAGAAGGCCUUCGGGUUGUAAAGCACUUUUGUCCGGAAAGAAAAGCUUCGGGUUAAUACCCCGGGGUCCUGACGGUACCGGAAGAAUAAGCACCGGCUAACUUCGUGCCAGCAGCCGCGGUAAUACGAAGGGUGCAAGCGUUACUCGGAAUUACUGGGCGU